RNAcentral lists this ribosomal RNA (164 nucleotides) under Calyptocarpus vialis. Its description in RNAcentral is "5.8S ribosomal RNA". It matches the Rfam family "5.8S ribosomal RNA". Rfam says of the family: 5.8S ribosomal RNA (5.8S rRNA) is a component of the large subunit of the eukaryotic ribosome. It is transcribed by RNA polymerase I as part of the 45S precursor that also contains 18S and 28S rRNA. Functionally, it is thought that 5.8S rRNA may be involved in ribosome translocation. Lineage: Eukaryota; Viridiplantae; Streptophyta; Magnoliopsida; Asterales; Asteraceae. The record is from RNAcentral. RNAcentral also lists the same sequence under 8 other names.
AAACGACUCUCGGCAACGGAUAUCUCGGCUCACGCAUCGAUGAAGAACGUAGCAAAAUGCGAUACUUGGUGUGAAUUGCAGAAUCCCGUGAACCAUCGAGUUUUUGAACGCAAGUUGCGCCCGAAGCCAUCUGGUUGAGGGCACGUCUGCCUGGGCGUCACGCA